RNAcentral lists this ribosomal RNA (497 nucleotides) under uncultured bacterium. RNAcentral's name for it is "partial 16S ribosomal RNA". It matches the Rfam family "Bacterial small subunit ribosomal RNA", at positions 28 to 507 of the family's 1533-position model. The record is from RNAcentral.
GAUGAACGCUGGCGGCGUGCCUAAUACAUGCAAGUCGAGCGAACAGAUAAGGAGCUUGCUCCUUUGACGUUAGCGGCGGACGGGUGAGUAACACGUGGGUAACCUACCUAUAAGACUGGGAUAACUUCGGGAAACCGGAGCUAAUACCGGAUAACAUUUGGAACCGCAUGGUUCUAAAGUGAAAGAUGGUUUUGCUAUCACUUAUAGAUGGACCCGCGCCGUAUUAGCUAGUUGGUAAGGUAACGGCUUACCAAGGCAACGAUACGUAGCCGACCUGAGAGGGUGAUCGGCCACACUGGAACUGAGACACGGUCCAGACUCCUACGGGAGGCAGCAGUAGGGAAUCUUCCGAAAUGGGCGAACGCCUGACGGAGCAACGCCGCGUGAGUGAUGAAGGGUUUCGGCUCGUAAAACUCUGUUAUUAGGGAAGAACAAAUGUGUAAGUAACUGUGCACGUCUUGACGGUACCUAAUCAGAAAGCCACGGCUAACUACGUG